GUGCCAGCCGCCGCGGUAAUACGGGGGGUGCGAGCGUUAAUCGGAUUUAUUGGGCGUAAAGGGGGCCUAGGCGGCCAAGUAAGUCAGGGGUGAAAUCUCCACGGCUUACCCGGGAAAAUGCCUUUGAUACUGCUUGGCUCGAGUUCGGACUAGGGAAGCGGAAUUCCGUGUGUAGCGGUGAAAUGCGUAGAUAUACGGAGGAACACCAGUGGCGAAGGCGGCUUCCUGGGCCGAUACUGACGCUGAAGCCCGAAAGCGUGGGGAGCGAACGGGAUUGGAUACCCCGGUAGUCCACGCCCUAAACGUUGCGCACUAGGUGUUGGGAGUAUCGACCCUCCCAGUGCCGCCGCUAACGCAUUAAGUGCGCCGCCUGGGGAGUACGGUCGCAAGACUGAA
RNAcentral lists this ribosomal RNA (396 nucleotides) under uncultured bacterium. Its description in RNAcentral is "bacterial SSU rRNA". It matches the Rfam family "Bacterial small subunit ribosomal RNA", at positions 505 to 898 of the family's 1533-position model. The record is from RNAcentral.